Molecule: unclassified non-coding RNA, 148 nt
Organism: Pongo abelii (Sumatran orangutan)
Lineage: Eukaryota; Metazoa; Chordata; Mammalia; Primates; Hominidae
Rfam family: Metazoan signal recognition particle RNA
About the family: The signal recognition particle (SRP) is a universally conserved ribonucleoprotein. It is involved in the co-translational targeting of proteins to membranes. The eukaryotic SRP consists of a 300-nucleotide 7S RNA and six proteins: SRPs 72, 68, 54, 19, 14, and 9.
Source: Ensembl
GCUGGGUGUGGUGGUGCACACCUGUAGUCCCAGCUACUCGGGAGGCUGAGGCAGGAGAAUCACUUGAACCUGGGAGGUGGAGGUUGCAGUGAGCCAAGAUCAUGCCACUGCACUGCAGCCUGGGUGACAGAGUGAGACUCUGUCUCUC